UACGGGGGGAGCAAGCGUUGUUCGGAUUUACUGGGCGUAAAGGGCGCGUAGGCGGUCAGCACAAGUCAGUUGUGAAAUCUCCGGGCUUAACUCGGAAAGGUCAACUGAUACUGUGCGACUAGAGUGCGGAAGGGGCAACUGGAAUUCUCGGUGUAGCGGUGAAAUGCGUAGAUACCGAGAGGAACACCUGCGGCGAAGGCGGGUUGCUGGGCCGACACUGACGCUGAUGCGCGAAAGCUAGGGGAGCGAACAGG
This 254-nucleotide ribosomal RNA is filed under the name uncultured bacterium. RNAcentral describes it as "partial 16S ribosomal RNA". It matches the Rfam family "Bacterial small subunit ribosomal RNA", at positions 524 to 776 of the family's 1533-position model. The record is from RNAcentral.